Molecule: microRNA, 22 nt
Filed under: Saccoglossus kowalevskii
Lineage: Eukaryota; Metazoa; Hemichordata; Enteropneusta; Harrimaniidae
Description: Sko-Mir-2008-v2_5p* (star (passenger))
Source: RNAcentral
GUAUUAACACUGAGGUUGAUGU